Molecule: ribosomal RNA, 2687 nt
Filed under: Triticum aestivum (bread wheat)
Lineage: Eukaryota; Viridiplantae; Streptophyta; Magnoliopsida; Poales; Poaceae
Description: partial small subunit ribosomal RNA
Source: RNAcentral
GAUGGAGAGGCUGGAGUAGGGCCCGAGCGGGAGGCUUAUGGAGCUGGAGGGGGGCUGGGGCGUGGUGCUCGUCCUCGUGGUCUUUGGGAGGGGGCUGCCGGUGCCGCCGCCCCAUCCGCCGCCGCCGCCGCUGAGGGGGAGUAGGUGCGGCCUCCUGGAGCAGGACGGGAAGUAGAGGGCGUAUGAGUACCUCCUCCUGUAGCUGCUGUUCAAGAAGAUGCUGAAGGGGCUGUUGGGGCGCGAGUAGCUCCGCGUCGUCGGGAAGGAGCUCUAGGAGAGGCUAGGGAGGAGGUUGAGGUGGAGGCUGCUGUCGUUGUUGGCGCGGCAGAGGGGCACGAGGGGGAGGCUGCGGAGGCAGCCGUGGCGGCGGGUCGACGGAGGGUGCGGCCGGCGGCAACUGAGGAUGCUGGCGAAGGUCAAGCUCGGGCAGCUGGAGCUAGGGCGGCGGAAGAAGCCGCCGCCGCGGUUGAGGCUGGAGUACUCGAGGCGGAAGGAGUUCCCCUACGUCCUCCGGUUGUUCAAGGACGGGUCAGUCCUGUUCGAGCAGUAGCUGGACCUCCGGAGGAGACCGGUCAAGAAGUUCCCGCAGCUCCUCCCGUUGUUCAAGGACGGGUCCCUCCUGUUUGAGCAACGACCCAAGUUACCGGUGCGUCGAGGACGCGGCCGCGGCCAACACGAGUCGCAUUUCUUCCUCCUCCGCCACCUACGCCAGAGCCGGUUGAGACCACCGCCGGCUCCAGCCUUCUUGGGAAUGGUACUACUGCUCGACCUCGUCCUCCCACCGUCCUCGUCGUUCGUCUCACGCGACCCUCUGCUGCAGAGACGUGCCCUCUACAAGCUGUCCUACGACUACGGGAGUCUGCUCUACACGUAGCACGUCUACGUCUUGGACGCCUAGCGGUACGUCCUCCGCCACCGGUUCUUACUAUCGCCGCCGCCCUUCCCCCGGUUACCGUUCCCCUCCCCGGCCGCACCACCAAGGCUACACCACCUGGACGCGUGCGACGAGUAGGUAACGCGCGUCAGACAACGGUGUCUACUGGCGGCCUCGCGAUGUCUCGACGACUUCGUCUAGUUCGACGUACGAGCGGGACUACCGCUACCCUGAGUCGCGGAACGCGUAACGAAACGCCUCCCGGACGUCCGCGCCGACCGCCCGUGUCCACCGGAGCAUGUGGUCAGCGAGUACCGUUGUGCGUAGAGUCGACACCUGUACGAGUUUCGAAUGGUCGACAUGUACCGUCGGUAGACAAAGUUCUUCCACAGAAAGGACAAGAGUUUAUCAUGUUAGAUAUUACGGAGGAACCCUUUCUUCUUCUAUGUAUAGUAGCUAAUACCAUAUGUUAUACCCAAGGUCACCGGCACGAAAGACGCUGCCUAUAGUUGUUCCGGACCUCCCGGCGGCUUACAUUCCUAGUGACCAUAGCUAGAGGGAGUCGGACCCAAGGCCGGUUGUCUCGCCUAACUUCUCUGUCCCGCGUCCGAGUUCUUCAUACGGGUACUCAAAUUACACGGCAAGCUCAUGGCCCGGUAGCGCUGCCGUUUCUACCUCAGCGAGGCGUUUCUCCUAAACUUCUAACUAGGACUACUCCAUGAGUAACAAUUGAGGAACAAAGUUAAGUUCUUGAACUACCUGCUCUCGCAACACGAACUCUCGGGUUCCCUACAACACGAGUUCUUGUAGUCCUUCUACGCGGGGGUGUGUAAGUAGGUACGUUAGCACUUACCGAGUAAGUCACGGGGUAAGAAACACUGUGCCAAAGCCCUCCAAGACAAGAUGAUGAGCCGGGAAAAACUACAAGACCUGUGUUGGUGGGGUUCCCUAUUGCUUGUCUCCUACGACUAACUCGUCUUGUAGGAACCCGCACGACGGGACUUACAGUAACGGACACUCCCAUGUCUAUCCCACCUCGCAGGACUCUGCAUAUUCGUUACCGUCCAUUCCUUAGUUGCCCGUCCAAACUUCGACGACGGUAACUUAGGUCUCCAGUAACUCGAUCGCUCUCUGUUCCAGUUCUUGACGAUGGUGUUCCUGAAACACUAACUAUAUCUAGUCGUGACCGAGAACGUUCCUACCUUUCCCGCGUAGGAGAUACGGUAGAGCUGUACCUGCCGUUUGCUACGAUCGAGUAUUUAAAAUCGACCGCAAAAGUGAACCGUUACGAAUAUCGAGAUCAAUACAGUUAUAUUACAGACACACAACACAUACCUGGUACCAGAUCAAUUCAUUGGAAACUAAGUCACCUACGUCAAAGAACUCCAUGCGGAAAGGACUUAAACCACGUAUAAACCGUAAGGCUGUACGUCCACUAAGACGAGUAUCCCGGUUAAACACGCUACGUCCAGUACUCUCUCUACCCAUCGGGUUCUAUAUACGUACCAAGAUACACAACACUUAAUCUACAACGUCAGUACAACGGCGGACUACGGAUCGAUACACAUCUCAAAUCUGAAACCACAGGACUAGACCUACCUACGACAAACGACUUAAACUAUACACGGACACUAGUCAGGUCAGUCAACUGGUCCAACAUUAACUGUGAUCAGUGACAGAAGACCCACGUAUGACGUGACACAGUCCGUCAUUUGUAAACAUACUUUUUGAACUACUUGGAGCGGAACCGAUCAAAUAAUACAAAACAUGGUACUCUUACUAGGAAAGUACGUCCUUUGGUUUAUAAAACGGG